This 253-nucleotide ribosomal RNA is filed under the name uncultured bacterium. RNAcentral describes it as "partial 16S ribosomal RNA". It matches the Rfam family "Bacterial small subunit ribosomal RNA", at positions 524 to 776 of the family's 1533-position model. The record is from RNAcentral.
GACGUAGGGCGCGAGCGUUGUCCGGAUUUAUUGGGCGUAAAGAGCUCGUAGGCGGCUUGUCGCGUCGUCCGUGAAAACCUGCAGCUCAACUGCAGGCUUGCGGUCGAUACGGGCAGGCUAGAGUUCGGUAGGGGAGACUGGAAUUCCUGGUGUAGCGGUGAAAUGCGCAGAUAUCAGGAGGAACACCGGUGGCGAAGGCGGAUCUCUGGGCCGUAACUGACGCUGAGGAGCGAAAGCGUGGGGAGCGAACAGG